This 227-nucleotide long non-coding RNA is filed under the name Physcomitrium patens. RNAcentral describes it as "long non-coding RNA (PPAT_LNC000496)". The record is from RNAcentral. Lineage: Eukaryota; Viridiplantae; Streptophyta; Bryopsida; Funariales; Funariaceae.
GUAGAUUGGAAAAAUAAAUAGUAUAGAAAUCUUAAGGAAGAAGUUAAGAGUAAAUUCCAGUAAAAGUUAUUUAGAAAAACUAGAUGUUGAUAUCCGGAGAGGGCCGGUUAUGAACUAGGAUCGAAAUCAGAUCCUGAGGCACAAAACUGAGUCUCGACAACGACUCCAAGACUCUUUGGCAGAUCGGAGAAUGGGGUUUGAUAGAAGAUUGAAUAGGUUUUCUAUGG